UUAUAUUAUAAGCAAGGCUGUGAGGAGUGUUACCACUGAAAAUAAGCAUUUUUGCACGUCCUUGGGAUAAACUUUUAGAAGCAGAAUUUUUGGGUCAAAGAGUUCUUACGUGUCAAGGCUUUUGAUAUGUGCCCAUAAGCUUAGACAUGUUGUACGGCUGCUUCAAAGCUUAGUUUGUUUUCGUUUCCUCAGCCCCCUUCACUGUUCCCUCUACAUUUUCGAAUUUCAAAUCCUAGCAAAAGUAGGUAAUAUUCCCCUAAUGUAAAGAACUUUGUAUGUGAUAACAUGUUACGUUAGUGGUGAAUUUUAUUUCUUCUUUCUGAAAUCAGAUUCUUCUUGUGUGUGAGAAGGCUAAUGUGCUUGUAACUGCAUCAUUGCAUAAGCUGACAAAGUCCUAUUUGUUGCUUACAAAGUUGGCAAAAAGCAAAAUAAAAAAGACAUUAAGCACAACAAACCAGAAGCCUUGGAAAUGCAAGAGAGUCAGUUUAAGUUUCAACAUGUCAUUUCAUUUGCUUUUUUUUUAAGGUUUGAAAAAAGCCUUCAGCAUAUUGAACCGUAUUACAAAAGAAGCAGUCAGUUUGGGGAGAAAACCAUUUUAUCCUUUUCAGCUUGCCCUAGGAUAGAUUUUUCUAUUUCAGCAAAAAUAAAUAAAAUUUGUUAUUUUAGAUGAAAAUUUUCUAAUUUGCUGUCACCUUCCACUGGUUUUCUUUCAGGUGACAUUGUAGGUAAUGCCAAUGCUAAUGAUAUUGGCACACACUUACAUAGUCUCUAUCCUGUGCCAGGUACUGGAUUACCUCAUUUUAAAGCUAGAUGGGGAUUGUUUUCCAUGAGAGGAAGUGGAGAUUUUAACACCAAGGCAGUAGAGGCUUAGUGGCUCUAACCCCUUUCAGAGUCAUAGACAUAAGUAGAAGGAUGUGUUAAGGUGAGCACUUCUCAAACUCUAAGGUGCACUCGACUUACCUGGAUGUCUUGUUAAAAUGCAAAUUCUGAUUCAGCAAGUCCUGAGGGACCUGAGACUCUGCAUUUCUAAUAAGCUCCCAGGGGAUGCUGAUGCUGCUGGUCCAUUGACCACACCCUAAAUAACAAGGUGUUCAAAGACAUUGACACAAAGUCUACUGUUUCCCUAUGGGGAGAGUGUGGUCCAGAGGGUCCAGCAACCCAGCUCUGCCAGCCACACAAGCCCCCUGGCAACUGAGGUUGGGAGCUGAUUUCCAGAUGUGUCCUUUGUGCACUUUGUUUGCCAUGCCACUCAUUCUGAGAGAGCCACCCUUGUGAUGAGAUUGUACACGACUUAGAUUUUCUUCUUUUUAUUUUUGUGUCUUCUAAGUUUUAUUUUAUUUUAUUUUAUUUUGCAGGAAAGGAUGCACCCUGAGCUUACAUCUGUUGCCAAUCUUCCUCUUCCUUUUUUCCUCCGCAAAGCCCCAGUGCGUGGUUGUAUAUCCUAGUUGUAAGUUCUUCUAUGUGAGCUGCCAUCACAGUGUGGCAACUGACAGAUAGGUGGUGUGGUUCCAUGACUGGGGAGUGAACUGGGCUGCCAAAGCAGUGAGCGCGCCGAACCUUAACCACUAGACCAUUGGGGGUGGCUCUCUUCUUAAGUUUUUAUCAGUGAUCAUAUAUUAGUCUUAUAAUCAGAAAAAAGUGAACACAUUUAUUUUUUUACCUAGAAUGGUCCCCUUCCCCAAAUCUCUAUUGGUGAUUGUCCUUGGGCAUCUUUUGCUGCAUCUGAUCUCUUUGAAGGUCUUUGAGGCAGGUCUUUGAAGGAGUUAUUGGAAUAAAUACACUUUAGGUGCUCCAUCCGUAUCAGCUUUGGCACUUACCUUUUAAAAAAAAAUGGUGGUAAAAUACGCAUAACAUAAAAUUUACCAUUUAACCAUUUUUAUUGUAUAGUUCAGUGGCAUUACGUAUAUUCACAUUGUUGUGCAACCAUCCUCACCAUUCUUCUCCAGAACUUUUGUAUUUGCAAAACUGAAACUCUAUACCCAUUAAACAAUAACUUCCCAUUCCUUCUUCUCCUAAGUCCCUGGAACCAUCAUUCUAUUUUUUGUCUCUGAAAUUGACUGCUCUAGGUUCCUCAUAUUAGUGGAAUCUUAUAGUAUUUGUCCUUUGGUGCAUGGCUUAUUUCUCUUGGCAUAAUGUCCUCAGUGUUCAUCCAUGUUGUAGCGUGUGUCAGAAUUUCCUUACUUUUUAAGGCUGCAUAAUAUUCCAUUCUGUGUAUAUACCAUAUUUUGUUUAUCCAUUCAUCCAUCGGUGGAUACUUGGGUUGCUUCUACUUUUCGGCUAUUGUGGAUAUUGCUCCCAUGAACAUAAAUGUGCAGAUAUCUCUGUCUUUGGCACCCACCAGCUCUUUUGCCCAAUUUCCAGCUGCCUGCAUUUGGCCCCCUUACCUGAGUGAGGGCUUUCUCUGGGCCCCUUCUCUGCCUAUGUAUGGGCUGUGAAGUCAAUGCCUCCUGUAUCCCCCACCCCUCAAUUGAGAUAGGAAUUGGUAUACAAGUACCCCAGCUCCCUUCCUUUCAGAUGGGGUAACUGGAGACACGUGUCUACACCAUCUCCCAGAAUUCCCCAGUGGGGGUAGACCCCAGUUGCCCAUGAUGAUAACUUUCUUGAUAUCACACCCUGCACUGGCUUCUUUCCCAUCUCAUUUUUCCACUCCCCUACUGGUUCUUCCUGGGAUCACUUCCCAAAUAAACUACUUGUUCUCAAAUCCUUGACCUAGGGUAUGCCUCAGAGGGAACCCAAACUAAAGAGCAUUGAGAAGGCGCCCUGUGAGUCCCCCCCUUACACCCAGAGAUGUUCUUUUGUUGGAAAACAACACUGAGAUUUGGAUAUUUGAGGUGGAUUCUUAGUUGUGUGCAGCUGCCUUCCCACCCCAUCCAGUUAGAUGUUCCAGAAGAAAAUUGAAUCUGUUCACAUCAGCAUUUGACCCUUAUUGUUGUAACGUCUUAAAUGUAAAAUACAUUACUUUCAAAGCCCUUUUUUUGUGUCUUUACUAUCUCAGUGAUAUAAUCUCCAGUUGCCAUACAUGGAGCUGGAUCCCAAAGAAAGAAGAAAACAGUUCUACAAGCACAUCACAGCCUUCUUGUGCUUAGGAGCACUAUACAGCACUUGAGCACAUUGCUUGGGGGCCCUUUCAGACAGCAAAAUUGCCAACAAAAAGCACAAAAUUGUGAAAAACAUGGCACUAAACAGACCAUGAAAAGGACACUUGUUUAGGAUGUGAGAGCUGAAACAAGAAGGCAGAGCAGAGCCCUGUUUGACCUCAGCUGGGAUCGUGUGCAUCAGUGGCUCAGCUUUUUUGCAUCUCUGCAUGUCUGCCAAAGUGUUGCUACCAUCGAUUUUGCAGUUACAAAUAAAUUUUGGUAAGUAGGUGAAUUUGCAGACAGUCAGGAUCGACUGUAUAUGCCAAUAUUUCUCUCUGGACCUGAGGUCUAGGUUGAUACCACCACUCUGUGUCUGACCUUCAUUUAGUUGUUUCUCUAUUCUGGGCCUCUGUUUUCUCAUUCAUAAAACAAGCAUGUUGGGGUAGAUCGGUGGCAAUAGUUUCUUUUUUUAUGUAAGAAGUAACUUUUAUUCAUGUAAAAGCCCAGGGUAUAAAGCAGUAGUCAGCUCCCUGCAUCUCUUGUCCUCCACCAAUUUUACCAAAAACGUAUGGAAAACCACUGGGCUAGAUCUCCGAGGCCAUUUUCCUCUGUCCCAUUAGGUUAUAAUUUAUUCAUUUGAGAAAUAUUUAUUGAGCCUGGAACAAUACUAGAUGCUGUAGUUGCACCAAACUCACUGAAAAAAAAAAUUGAUCAGAACUAUUUGGAAAUGGCCUACACGUACUUUUUAUUUGUAAUUCUUAUUAAAAAGGUUUUCUGCUAGUUCCAGUCUUCUCACCUCUCUCUUCAUCUUGAGUGGCCUCAAUGAAUCUUUCAGACUCACUGUUGUCUCACACACAUCAGAUCCAUUUAGGACCUCAUCCCAGGUUUCGCUCAUCCUGGUUUGGGCAUCCUUCAUCUAUGAGAUUGGAGCCGGAAACGACCUUCUCAUUGGUCAUGUCCGAAGGGAAGUCGGUUGGAAAGCAAUGCACCCACCCACAAGAUACCCACUCAAAAGGACACCCAGUAUUUUCCUGGAUAUCCCUGUCACUUUGGGGGUUGUGUUUACUGCUCUACUAGAAGGUUGUCAUAAUGGAGAUGCCUUUCCCCUCUAGAGAAUGCAUUUUCAUAAUCCAUAUGUGCAAAAAUAGUAAAGUAAUAAGCAGUAUGCAUUAAAACAGUCUUGAAGUGAGCUUCUAGUUUAAAGCGAAUUGUAAUUCUUCCAUAUGGUAAUUGAUGUGUGAUUUUUCUUAGUCUUCAGUGCAUGAAGGCUAAAAACUACAGUUUGUUAAGAUUGUGCCUAGUUCUUCAAAGGUGAUUCAUUCCUCUAAGAAGGAAAUUGGGAAAAAGGAGUUGACAGUAGAUGUGGAUCGGUUUGUUUUAAUCCAGUGAGUGUAUUUUAAUCAUGAAGCCUUCAAAUUUAUCUAAAGAAUAGUACUAAAUCUUUAGUGAGGGAAUCUUUCAAAAUUGAUAUUUCUAUCUUUUAGGGAUAUAUAGGAUUUUUCUCUUUUUCAUUAGGAAAUGAUAGAAUUGAAUUAUUUCUAUUUCUGUACUAAGAGCUGGCCUGAGGGAGGUACAAAGUGUGUGGUAGCUUCAGUUUUAAUUUAGUAUAGAUUGUUUUAUUUCUACAAUCACUGGUUUUUAAUAAAUCUGUUGAUGCUUAUUUCAAAAGGUCUGGCUCAAAAGGACAUAGUCUAUAGGAAACUCUGUUCCUACUGUGGUAGAUUGCUGCUUUGGUGGCCUCAGUGAACUCUGCCUCCCAUCACUCAUGCCCUUGUAUAUUCUCCUCCUCAGUGACUCUAGACUUGGCCACAAAACUUGCUUUGGUGAGUGGGACAUUAGCAAACAUGAUGCUGGCAGCGACUUGCUAAGCCCUUGCGCAUUAUGGCUUGUCCUCUUGGAAUGCUCCUUCAUGGAAGCCAACCUUGAUGCCAUAUAAAAACUCAGGCCAGACUAUUAAAUGACCACGUGGAGAGAGAUCCUGAAUGCACGAAUGUUUGAAGAAGGCCAGUGAAAAAGGGGCUGAAGCUGCAUGUGUUUUAGCAAUGCAUGGCCCACCCUCAGUGAGUUUUCUUUGCCAGCGAGUGACUCAUUCCUGCAAAGGCACUGGGGAUUCCCGUUCUCCCUCCUGCACACAAUUUUAAUGUCCCUGUGCUUCCCCAUGGUUCUUCCUGAGGCUCCUUUGCCCCUUAAGCCCCAUAGCAGGCAUCAUAUCAAAUUCCAAGUGGGCUUGAGGGAGUAGAGAGGCAGCCUCAGGCACUUGAGCAGUGGGGAGAUGAAGCUUUCUACCCAAGAUGUCCAUCUGUAAGGACCAGGGCAAGGAGGGUUUUAGAGAAGUGAAGGGCUGGUUCAAGGCACUGUCUUUUUCCUCAAGCCACGUUAACAUUAACUUAGCAUAAUAUAGACCAGUUGUUCUCAAACUUGUCUGCAUAUCAGUGUCACCCAGGCAGCUUCAAAAAUACCAUUGUUGGUUUUCCAACACCCAGAGAUGUUGAUAUAAUUGGUUUUUGGUAUAUCCUGGGUGUCAGAAUUUCUAAAAGUUUCUUAGGUAAUUCUGUUAUGCACCCAACAUUGAGAACCACUGAUAGAGACAAUUAGGUAGGUUAUAGCUAUUCAUGUUAACAUUUCCAAAGUAAUUUAAUAUUUCCUUCUUGGUAAUUUAAUGUUUCUUAACAAUUUUAGUAUAAAUAGUAAAUUAGUAUUUAUAACUUCAAAUUUAUAAUAGCUAUAUUUUAAUAUCUAACUUUUCAGUAAAUGACAUUAUAAACCUCAUUUUCUUUUUUCUUCCUCUCUCUUGGCCUUGAAACUCACAUGAAAUAUCAUAGAGAAGCAGCUGACCGUUCUUCAUGUUGGAGGAAAUUGAAAGGAAACCAGUUUUUAGAUAGUAUACCCACAAAGAUACAAAAUUAGAACUUUCCUCUUGGUUCCUGUCCUGCCUCUCCUAUUUCCAAUACUCACAUACUUUGAAUUGUUUGUGCCUAAGAGAAAAAGUAGCGGGAGCCCCCAUGGGCCAAAUAGUCCUUUCAAGAGGCUCAUUGUUACUUUUAGGCUUUUCAUGUUAUUACAGAUGGUUCAUUUGUUAUGAAUAGGCUAGUCAAGAAAGAGAAGUGAAGGACUUUUGAAUGCCUUCUUAUCAUCUUCCCCCUUCCAUGGCCUCCUCUGUUCCCUCCCACAAGCUUUUUGUUUGCUUGUUAUAUGUUUCCAAAUAUUACUGAGACAAGGUCUUGAUCACCUAUGAGAACAGACUUGCUCAUGACUGGUGGUUGGAAUGCUUUUUGCCAUUAUUUUAAAUCUGAGAGCCAGAAACAUGGGCCUUAUUCAUUCUAUGACACUGUGCCUCCAGCAGUGAAUUUUUUCUUUUUUUUCUUUUACAAAUCAGUUUAUAGAAGUUCGGGAUCCAGUGGAUUCUGCCACUGGGUAGGUAAGCAGUGCUGUAGGAUGGCUGCUCUUGGCAGAGGCAUUAGCUUUCAAGAGAGGAAUAUAAAUCAUUUUGAGCUGCAGAAUUUUAGGUCACUAUAUUCUGUUUCAUUUCAAGAGGGCAUGUUAGAAUCGGAAGAGAUUAUCAAGAUGAUAUAGAUAGUGCAACCCUCCCACUAUUUUUUUUUUUCGAUUUAGUAAAAUUAAGGCUCAGGGUCAUUCUGUAAUUCAUCAGUUGAUCGUUGUUUAUGGACUGCUCCAGAUCCACCUCUCUUGGAGGUGCUGCUGAAUGUGGGGAAUGAGGAAGCGAAAUGAUUGGCCCAAGAGGACAAGUGAAGUUAUGGCGGAACCAGAACUACAAAGCAGAUCUCUAUUUCUUUCCUGAGGUAUUACUUUAUAAAAAAUUUGCAGUCUUGAUUUUUUAUAGCUAUAUCCUAUAAUGGAUUAAGAGGGUGGUCAAUAGAUGUUCAUAUAAAAUUUAUGAGUUUUAAAAUAAUUGAUCAUAUGUAUGGUAUCAAAUCUAGGAAAUUUGAUUUAAAAUAAUAUAACGAUUUGGUUGGUAGGUUUGAUUCUUAAUUUCUAAAAGUUAUUUUCUUUAUGGUGAUACAAAAGUGCCUUUUGCUUUUUCUGAAUUACCUAAGUUUAAGAAAAUAGUCCAAAGAAUGGAAUUUGGGGUCAGUCCAAGUACUGGGCCUUAUGCUUUUUGUCUCUUUUACAGCUGAAAAUUUUUAGCAAACUUUAAAGCUGGGCAAGAAACUUAGAGAUGCCCUUGUCUAAGUUCAUUUGACAGAUGAGGAAAUUGAGGCCCGGGAAGGUUGUUAUUUGCUGAGGUUCACAGAGCUAGUUCAAAGCCAAGUCAGAGACUUAGAAGUCAAUUUUUUUGACUCACAUUCUGUACAUUCUUACUUUGGAGCAGAAUAAAAACUGUAGGCAGGGUGUGCACCACACAUGCGCACGGGCACACACUCUCACACAUUGUGUAUGACAAGUCUGUUUUCAGAAGUGGGGGUUAUUUCUCAUGCAUUGUCUUAGGUUGGCUUUUCCACAGAGCCGGCCUGAGACAAGGAUUGGAGAGCAAAUGGCUAACUUGGGAGGUGGUCACAGGAAGCAUCAGUGGUGGCGAGGGGGGUGAGAUAAGGAAGGAAAUGCAGCGAGUAUCGGGUGUGCUGACAAGCUGAUUCCAUCGGGGGGAACUAACUGGGCCUCCCUUCUGCUGGAGCACUGUCUUUGGGAGACUGUGUAGAAUAUGCUUCAGAGUAGGCCCCUGGAGGGGGGAGGAACUGGACUGUUUAUUUACCAACUCUUGUGUCACUGUUUGAGGGCUUUGCCUGGAGGCCUUACUCCUAGGCACUUGCUGGAGAGCCUACAGUUAGAGAAUCUCAGUUCCUAGAGUAAGGCCUGUUCAGUAUGCUUGGGGACUGAGUGCAGAGGGCAUGUGGAUGGUACCUCCUGCAUGCUCAGAAAGACAUGGAAAUGGAUGUAAGUGGAGCCUUCCUGCACACAGUGCCACUCUGUGUCUUGGCUCUUUCUUAUUAUUUCCAUCUGUGUGCCCAGUGCUAUAGUAUGGGAAGGAUGGGGCUGAGACAUCGGUGCUGACUGUGAUACCAUCGGUGUUGGAUAUUGUCUGUUACCCCCUCCACAUCUACUCUCCACUUUCUCUAGUCUGCUCUUGUGCCACAGGUUGGGCGUUAAAUGCUGCAUUGGUGGGCUUCCUUGCCCUCUGGCUUCAGGUUGGAUUCAGGCAGUGGGAGCUGUAGCAGGAGAUUGGAGGGGGAGGACCAUGAGGGCAGCCUAUUCAUCCCCCCAGGUCUCUUCUUGCCGCCAGGCUGCUGGUUGUCCCUGUUGCCCUCCUGGAUGCCAGAGUCUGUCAAGUGGCCCACUUCUGUAACUAUAGUACCUUUUCUGGGUUCCUCUAGCUCUAUCCUCUUGUCCCUUUAGGCCUAGGGUACUUCGGAUACCCUGGUUGUCUUGCCCAAACCCUGCCUACACCUGAUAAACAAUCCCCUAUUAAACACCCUAAGUUGUCUCAUAUGAGUGUUCCAUCCAUUUCCUGCUGGAACCCUAACUGAGACACUAUUUUUGAGGAAUCUGGAUGACAGAAUCAGAUGAUAUGAGGCAGCUAGAAAUGUUAUAAAGAUAUAAGAUAAUGAAGUGUCCCAAGGACACUCAGCAUGUAGGAUGCCUUAAUAAAAGAAGGGGUCUGCUUAUUAAAGAGACAUUUUUGGAGGGGUGCCUGAGGUUGUGAUUGAUAAUCUUGUUUUUUUUGGGUCUACUCCAUGGGUAGCUCUGUUUGAAUAGUGAAUUGAAAAUCAAAAGCUCUACCUUAUUAUGACCAUGUAUAGCGUUAGUUAUGAUGUAUUUAACUCUGUGAGGUGGAAUAAUAUGUGAUUCACAGAAGCAGCAGAGUGAAAUGGAUCUAUCUAUCUGGAAAUUUCAGAGAUUUCUCUCAUGUAGUCUAAUUUAAGAUAAGUAAGUCUUUUCCUUUUAAUUCCUUAUAUUUCUCAUCCCUCUAAAGGGUUAUAAUCCAUUUUUUUGAGAGUUUUUAAAAAAGCUUGUGUGAAAGGCAUUUCAGGCUGCUUAGAAUAAGACACUAUAGCAACAGAAAGCACGCAUUCUGCACAUAUUUACAGAGGGCCCCUUGUGAGUCAGGCACUUUGCUAAUAAGCUCCAUGGAGUCGAUAAAGAAUAGUAUUUGAUCACUGCUUUCAAGGAAAUCACAAUGGAGGUGGGAAAAUAGAAGUUCAAACAAAUAAUUAUGCUAAAUAUUUUAAGUGUUAUAGGUCUAUACACAAUAUUAUGUGAAUCUAAAUGAGGGUGUAGUUAAGUCUGUUAAGAAAAGGCAGAGAGGUCAGUGAGUGUCAGAUAAUGCUUCAUAGAACAAGUGACAUUGAGUUGGGUCUUGAAGGGCGAGCUUAGUGAGAUUACCAGAGAGAGAAGAGUGGGAAUGGCAUGAAAGAAGGUGUGGAAUUUCCUGGUGGGUUGGAGCAUCAGUGAGUCUAAUUAUUUGGCCAAAAUACUGGUGGCCCUUGGAGGAAUGCCUGGACUUGAGGCCAAGGGAUAGAAGAUGAAUCUAAUCCUUAAUACUCAUCACUUAAAAUAAUACAUACAGUACACACACUAUAAAAAUAUUAGGAAUGAAGACAAAACAAAACAAUGUCUUUAAGAAUCUUUAGACAUUUAACAUAUUGUUAGACCUCAUGGUGCACAUAUUCUAAAUACUGAGCAAUGCAUGUUUUAAAUUCACGAGUGUCUCAAAAUAGGGAGAUAGACCCACUGAUUUUGUCUAUCCAUACAUGCCUUUGCUCAGACUUGUGUGCACUUACACCAAAUUUAUCACUAUGGAAUUGCUUCAUUUCACUUUAGAAUUACCUAAAAUAUGAUGGGUUGUUUGGAAAUAUGCUGGGUUGCCUUUUUAAUUACUAAUGAUUAUGUUAGCUUCCAUAGUUCACAAUCACCUGUUUAGUGGAACAUGUUUGACACUCCUAGCAUAAGAGAUAUUUGAAUCUUAAACUGCUUCUAAUUACUCUAGUCCCUAAAACUUUAGAGAUCUGUAAUCUUGAUACCCUAAGGCAGGUAAUUGGUGAAGACUGUCUUAUCAAUACCACAGUUGUAGACACAGUGAAUUUCUGAGUGCUGGUUGCUAAGCUGGACACUGAUAAACGAGAAUUCCUUUGCAGAGGCAGGAGCAAAAUGGUGACUGUAAUAUAUGGGUAUUAUAGUCAAAGCCUUUGUGAACAGAAAGCCCUUAAGCUGGUCAUACUUAAGGCCAAUUUAUUGUCAAGAAACUGAAGUUCAUGAAUUACAGAGGCAGGAACAACGUCCAGUCAAGUGUCAUGGAACGAGAGCGGGAAAGUCCAGAAUUAAGCUUGAACUCCUUACCAUGCAGCGGCGGCGUCUCUGCCUUUCUUUGGUUAUCUGCUUUAUUCUUUCCUAAUCUUAUUUGCUACCUUGUUCUAUUUCUGUUUUAGUUAUCUAUUGCUUUGUAACAAACUACCCCAAAACUUAUUGGCUUAAAACAACCACCACCAUUUAAUAUCCCUCAGGAGUCUGUGAGCUGAUUGGGCUCAGCUGGGCAGUUCUUCUGCUCCACAUGGUGUUGGCAGGAGCUGCAGUUAUCCAGGGGUUCAAAUAAGCUGGAAUACUCAAGAUGACUCUCUCACAUGGCAGGCAGUUGAUGCUCGCUGCAGGAUGGGAGUUCAGCUAGGAUGCCAACUAGAUCACCUCAGUUCUCUUCUAUGUAGCCCCUGUCCACGUGGCUUGGGCUUCUCACAGCUUGGGGGCUGGGUUUUAAGAGGGGGCAUUAUAAAUGUGCAAAAACGGAAGUUGCCAGUGCCCUUAAGGCCAGGACUCAGAAAUCCUGGGUGACCACUCUUACUGAAUUCUGUUGGUCAAAGCGGUCACAGGGCCAGCUUCCUGGAGAAGGGAAAUAGACUUGACCUUUCAAUGGGAAGAGUGACAAACAAUUAACUAAAUUUUUUUUUGCACAUGGCUCAACAUGACCAACAUGUCCCUCAGCCCCCACUAUUCAUGGAAAGUUUUUAGUUCAGUGUUCAUCACCAGUUGGCUGUAGCCUCUGUGUCUUAAGAGCUCCCAAGUUUACAUGCUCCCAGGAGACACUCAUAUUGGUUGCUAGCUGUCCAAUCGUCUGUAGUUGGGAGGGCCAAGUCUUGUGCCACUAAGGAUCUUCUUUGAGGGGCUGAGGUGGGAUGGGUUAUCUCAAAGGAACUGUGGUCAGAGUAGGCAAUGGCAGACGAGUAGAGAACAUUAGUACACAGAGGAUUUGAAGGAACUCUCAGGGCCUGCCUCUUCCUUUGAGGCUAGAGGUUUCUUUCUUUUCCAUGUUCUACAAAGCUCUGCUUGACCUGCCUUCUACCUUCUAACUUCUUUUUUAAAAAAUUUUUAUUUAUUUAUUUAUUUGUUUUUUUGAGGAAGAUUAGCCCUGAGCUAACUGCUGCCAAUCCUCCUCUUUUUGCUGAGGAAGGCUGGCCCUGAGCUAACAUCCAUGCCCAUCUUCCUCUACUUUAUACAUGGGACACAUGCCGCAGCAUGGUGUGCCAAGCAGUGCCGUGUCCACACCGGGGAUCCGAACCAGCGAACCCCGGGCCACCCAAGCAGAACGUGCGCACUUAACUGCUGCGCCAGUAGGCUUGCCCUCUAACUACUUCUUGAGCCAUGCUCUCCCUGCUUAGUUUUUUAUUUUAGUUAUUCCAGUGUACCACUGUCCUUCCUGCCCCUGUGUUCUUCUAUGUCCCUGUUAAAUGACAUAUGGGGAGAGAGAGGCUGUUUUCUCUCUCCCCAUAUGUCAUUUAACUUCUAACUUACUCUUCAGAUGUCAGCUCAAGUAUCACUUCCUCAGGGGAGCAUGGAACCCUCUGGAUUAAGUCUCAUCCCCUGUUCCAUCUCCAUUUCCUUCAUUGCACUAAUCAUAGUUUGUAAUUUUAUACCUGUGUGGUGACUUGAUCACUAUCUGUAGGCUCUCGAAGGCCAAGGAACCUAUCUGCCUUCCUCAGGGUGUCAGUGGCUGUGCAUGGCUCAUGUUAAGGUACUGGCAAAUAUUUGUCAUUUGCAUGAAUUAAACAUUGGAGGUAGUUGCCUUGAAGAAGUAAGGAUUAAGUGGAGAGAAUCUUUGUCUUGAGAGAAGUGAAGAGUAGCCUGUUUUGGGGACUACAAGGACCUAGUUUCUCAGGGAGCCCCUCUGCAAUGGUGUUUUGUGAGUCAGUGAACUCCUGUCAUUUAGAACAUACUGGUGGAGGCUGUGUGGUAGUUUCUGAGAUGUAGCCGGCAUUCCUGCCUGGGAAUAGAGCCUGAGUGCCUGAUUAAAAGCCAACUUCUUUUUCUUUUUGCUUCCACUGCCAUGUGGCCCCCGUUCUAUACUCAGAGAUCUCAGUGAUGGCCAAACUUUGUGACUGUGGGGCCAGAACUGCUCAUUCCAUUCCUGUUUACUCUCCCGUGAAGCCUGUAUCUUGUUUGACUGUUUGAAAGACUGAUUAGAUUCCAACUUGGCAUAUUAUGUCCCUUGAGCAUAAUCUCCAUAAGAUAACCCCAACCAUAACUUUUUGUCCAGUUCUUCUGUGGCACGUUAUCUAAAAGCAAAGUUGGUGGAAGAAUCAAAAUGGCAGAAGAGAAACAGAAAGGUAGAGUAAGAAUUAUCUGAGAUUGUUUUAUUCAAAGAUCCUGUAUCCUUUGAAUUCUAGGAGUUUUCAAUUUCCCACUUUCAGAGUUUGAGAUCAAGGUGGAGGGUAAUAUUGUCUCAGUUAGUUUAUUUCAUGAAAUAAUUUAAUUCAGUAAAUACAUAUUGAAUACUCCAUAUGUGUCUCAAUGGAGGGUGUAAAAACGAGUUGGUAUGUGACCUUGGAGUUUACACCUACCCAGGUAAUAUGGCAUCCAUCUGUGACAUGAGAUCCUAAUGAAAGGGUCAGAUGAACAGGGCCAUAAUAGGGCAUGAAUAGGGGCUGGAGCCGUUAGGAGUGUUCUUAUAGAGGGGGCAGAAUUUGGGCUAGUCUCCGUGGAUGAGUAGAUUUAGGCAAGGUUGCACAGGAGGGAGAGGGAGGGGGCAUUAUAAGCUAGGAAGCCCCAUGUAUGAAAGUUAAAAAGUAAGAAUGAGCAAGAAUGCCCUUUCACACUCCAGAGGCAGUGAAUGUCUGUGGGGUAGGGGUGAGAGGUUAGAUAAUGGAGGGCUAUGGAGAGACCUAUAGCCAUUGGGUGAGACCCUUGGAGGCCAGGGUGCGGGGUGCUUGCAAACAGGGGUAGUCACAUCAAAAACCUGCACUUUCAGGACGUUGUUUUGUUGACAGUUGGCAAGCUGGUUUUCAUGAGGGAGAGGUUGCAGCCAGCAAGACCACCUAGGAGACUGUAGUGGUGGGCACCAGAGGGGAGGCAAUAGAAACUGAGAGGGAGGGGAGUGUACAAAAUAGGGUUCAGAGGAAGAACUGAUAAGAGUUUCGUGUCUGAUUCACAGUGGGGAAGACGGAGAAGGAAGAAACAAAGGGAUAUUGAACCUGGGUGAAUGGGAGAUUAGUUCUAUGAUCCUCAGUACCAAGGUUGGGAAUGGAUGAUCAGCUAAGGUUGAGUGGACCAGAGGAAUGAAGUAUGUUAGAAGCAACGGCAGAUAACCGUGGGUCAGUUGCAAGAUAAAGGCUGGAGAUGUAACUCAAUGCAUCAUCAGAACCUGUUGCAUUAAAUAAACCCAAUGAAUGCAAAUUUGGAGUUUUCCUGGGCAUUUUAAGUAGGAAAAUAGAAGAAGAACCUCUGCCUUCAAAUGCUGACAUCCAGUUCAUCAGUAAAUUGUUUGUUCUACAUUCAAAACACAUCCCAAGUUUAACCAGUUUGUAUUGCCUUCAUCACUACCUUGGUCCAGUUACCGUCCCCCUUUAGCUGGAUUCUGCCGUAGCCUUCUAGCUGGUGUCCCUGCUUGUGUCCUUGCUCACCUACAGUGUGUUCUCAACACAGCAGCCCGAGUGAUCCUUUUAAUAAAAGGCAGAUUGUGUCGCUCUGCUUCUCGUCUACAGUGGCUUCCCACCUCAUUGGGAGCAUAAGCUGAAGCCUUACAGGGGCCUUCAGGGCCUGACAAGAUCCCUUCCUUUUUAUCUCCAGCUUCCUCUGCUCCUACUCUCCCUUGUUCGCUCCAUGCUCACCACCUUUGCCAGCUGCCUCUUUCCCUACGUCAGACUUUUUCCUCCAUGGCCUUUAGUAUCUUCUGAUAUCUAGAACAUUUGCUUAUUUGUGUGCUGUCAGUCUACCCCUCCAGAGUGGAAGCUCCAUGAGAGCAGGGAUCACUGUCUGUAUUGUUCACUGUGGAUCCUCGGGGCCUGGAACAUGCCUGGUACUCAGUAAUCAUUCAUUGAGUGAAUGCACAAAUUCCAUUAGAAGCUUCUUUUUUGAGUGGAGUUGGGAUUUCCUUGAGAACAGCUGUCAAUAAUUUUAAUCUUUAUAUCCAGAGAUAGCCCGAAAUAUAAAAUCCUAUCACUUCACAUUAUCUAACUGCAGAAAUUUCCAUUGCUAAAUGGAACAUUUAAAAAGUGAUGGGGGGCGGGGUAUGGAAGAACAGUUGCUUCCAUUAGCUGAGCUUCCACUUGGGGCUUCAGAGUUCACAUAGCAGUUUGGCAAUUCUUUCAUUAUUACUAUGAUUGUUAUUUAGAUGCUAUUUAAAGAUUGAGCCCCUAAACUCUCAGCUGAUGUUUUAGGAGAUUAUGCUAUACAGGGUGCAGAAAUUGCUGGGGCUGACUGUAACUAUUCAUAGCCAAUUAAGGAACAGCAUUGGCAAGAAACGCAGGGUGGAUUCAGUUGUGCUCUGUGGGAGUCCUGGUGGCGAUGCUUCAUGGUCUCUGGGAAAUUGCUGCCUGGGCUCUCUUCUGCAAAGGGAUCCUCAUUUGGUUACCUGGUGGGUGCUUUUGGUAAAUAAAGAGGAUAAACAACCUUGGGGAAUUUAACUUUGUAAGGGGGUUAAAGAGUGAAAGAGAAGAACAAACUAAAGAAAUUUUUCUGUAUUUGGGAGCAUUUACUUGAGAAGUCCCUCUGAAGUUUGCUUUUUGUUUUAUUUGGUAUCACUUUCAUCUCUUCCCAGGGGAUGCAGAUGUCUUUUGAAAGAAUGCAUGCAGAAAAACAGGCUGUAGGAGGAGAAAUGAAUUCUUGAAAGUUUAACAAGCUUCCAAGGACAGAGCUGCUCCGAGAAGCUGGGCUCUUACCACAUCUUUAAGGUUAAGAUUUGGGAGAACCAACUACGAUGUUCCCCGCUGCCACCACUGAUGUGGUUUCUUGAUGACACAACUAAAUGGCCCGUUUCUUAUUUAUAUUUUUAAGUGGGGCUUUUUUUCUUUUUUUUUUAAAGAUUUAUUUUUUUCCUUUUUCUCCCCAAAACCCCCCGGUACAUAGUUGUACUUUCUUCGCUGUGGGUCCUUCUAGUUGUGGCAUGUGGGACGCUGCCUCAGCGUGGUUUGAUGAGCAGUGCCAUGUCCGUGCCCAGGAUUCAAACCAACCAAACACUGGGCCGCCUGCAGCGGAGCGCGCGAGCUUAACCACUCGGCCACGGGGCCAGCCCCUUAAGUGGGGCUUUUUAAGGGAGUUCAGACAGGAGGGGAGUAUGGCACAAAGGAACCUGAAAAACAUCAGCAGAUCAUGUUUUUGCUUAACUUUGACUAUGCUUAACUUUAAUCCAUAGAAAAUUGUUUUGGAUUUUUCUAGCUCAUGAAAAUACUGUGUAGCCCUUGUUUUCAAAUAGAGUGUCUAUAAGGGGUCAAAAGAAAGUUCAAAUAAAAUUAAGGCUCAGAGAACAAGGCUGUACACACAUGCAGCCAAAAGAUCAUCCAUGUGACAUUCUCUAAGGCUCCUGCCUGGUGUCAGCUGGCAGGAUGUUUAAGACAAUGGCAGAGCUAUUUCCCUAGCCCUGCCUCAAAGUGCCAGAGGUGUAUUGGGAUUGGUCAGGGGUCAAAAGGCAUGUGAGAAGAAACAGAGACAAGGCUUAUUUGGUUUUAAAAUGUCUUAUCUGUGUUUGCACUUAUUUCUAUCCCUGUUAAAGAGGACAACGCAUGGAUAACCAAGAUAGGGAACUUGGUGUCCAAGGUGAAGGAGAAUGAGAAAAAAAAUUAUUUCUCUAGUGAGGUUUGUGAUAGGAAGCCGGAAAUCUGACCCAUGGAGCUGUAAUGAAAGCCCUUCCUACAUCUUCGGGUGCUACAUCAAAGAAGUCACAUUCGUUACAGAGCACAGUUCUUGGAGUGAAUCCUUCGCUUUCAACAAAUGAGUUAAAAUGUUUAUCUCCAAAAAAUACAAGAUGUAUCUUCAGCAGCUUUUCUCUGAGGAGGCAAAGAAAGACACUACUGCAUCCUACUUUUUUUUCUGAUUAUCUUUUAUAUUUUUGACAAGUGCCCUCACUUCAAAAAAUGUGGGUCUACGUUAAUUCUAAGUUCAUACUGAUCACUCUUAUUCAGCCAAUAUGAUUAUCAAGGUUGUUUUUUUUUCUUGUGUUCUUUCCUCUGCUGUUCCCUUGUGUUUGUAAUUAUCUUUCCUUGUGGUUGGACAGGGAAGAGGAUAAGGGAAAAUAUACAGCAAAAAGCAGUUAUGUUAUAUUCGGUGACCCAUCCUACUUGUUCAUUUCUCCAUCCAUCCACACAUGAACCCAUCUGGUAUUUAUUGAUCAUCUACUGUGAACCAGGCAUUAUAUUGGACUCUGGAUCUAAGAUUUAAUGAGCUAGGACCCCUUCUGUGAAGCUGUCUAGACCUAAUAAUAGGCAUUUAUAGUGGAAAAUAUGUCAAAAUCAGGUAAAUUCUAUCAUGGGAGGGUCUUGCAACCUGUUCUUGGGGGUUUCAGGAGAAGUUUCCAGGAAGAAGUACUGUCUCAACUGAUGCAUAAAGGAUGAAUUGAAGUUAGCUGGGUGAACUCUGUGUGUUCGGGCUUGAGUGUGGUUAAGAGAUGAGGAGGCGUUUCCAGCAGGAGAAACUCCAUGUUUUAGAGGUUACAUUUUAUGUGAGGGUUGUAUUCUAAGUCCUUGCAAAUUCAGAACUCCCGUAAUUCAAGGAACUUAUAUAAUGUUAUAUACCAAAUACAAAUUUUACUUCAAUUAAAAAAAAUGUUUUUUUAAAACCAAAAAAAGAAAAUAUUUCUGACAAAAGACCAAUGAUGGUGGGUAUUUCUGUUUAUCAGCUAAUAUGGUGCCACCCUGUGGCCACUCUGUAAACAGAGUUUAGAGUACCCCUUGGCCCAGCCAAAUUUGACACUAUAAUUUUUAAAGAAUUUUAAUAUUUUGGGUGGUUUUAACACUGAUUCAAAUUAAUGUGAAACCAUAUUAAUGCUUUGAUAUCAUAUUAUGUCAAAGUUGCAUAAUUCAAGUUCACAUCAAAUAGGACCAGGCCUUGGAGAGCUUCAGAGCACUAGCUCGUGGCCCAUUUGAUGGAUUGAAGGUGGUUCAGCGUGGAUCGCAGGGACACCUGAGAGUGGGAGUAGGCUAGGAAGGAGAGAGAGGGGAGGGAGAGUGGCGGGAGAGGAAAUGGAUAAGGUUUCAGGGCCCCGAUCAUCAAAGGCUUGUGAACAAUGAUAAGAAGAUGGCAAUGGGGAGCCUCUGAAGAAUGUUGAGGAGGGAAUAGCAAGGUCAGCCUUAGGCUUCUGCUAAAGUUUUAAUAGAUGAGAAAGUUGAAAUUAGACUAAGGAUGUGUAUGGGUUUCAGAUAUUUGUGGAACAUUCCUCUUUAUUUCUAAUGAGACUUGGUUAUAAACAAUAUAAGCUUUUGUGAUUUCAAAGUACUUUUAAGGUUUUUGUUUUAUUUUGUUUGUUUUUGAAGGUCCAUUGACUAUCUAGGAAGAGACAAUAAAGUACAUAGCUUAACCAGCAGGAAGGUUGGACUGAAGCUCAGCCUAGACUUGGGAUCUAAGGGUCGGGGGGAAUUUGAUUAGCAAAUUGUAUUUGGAGGUCUG
Molecule: long non-coding RNA, 17894 nt
Filed under: Equus caballus (horse)
Lineage: Eukaryota; Metazoa; Chordata; Mammalia; Perissodactyla; Equidae
Description: lncRNA (ENSECAG00000046953.1)
Source: RNAcentral